CAAGAACCUCUUCCCAAGACUCUGCUGUGCCUCCUGCAGGUUGAUUCUUCAGGAUCCCUCCAGCUUCUCACUUUUGCUUCAACAACAGUAGUAGGCUUUUGGAUGCCAUUCCGGAUAUUGAUUCAUGAUAUGACAUUGUUGCGAAGUAACAAUUCUUCUAAAAAUGCAAGCACUUGAAAGAAAAACAAAACAUACAGACAUCUGCAUCCACAAAGCUGCUCCUGUUCAGUAACCCAGCAAUAAAGCAGCCAACCCAGACA
Molecule: long non-coding RNA, 260 nt
Filed under: Struthio camelus australis
Lineage: Eukaryota; Metazoa; Chordata; Aves; Struthioniformes; Struthionidae
Description: lncRNA (ENSSCUG00000013611.1)
Source: RNAcentral